UUGACCUCGGAUCAGGUAGGGAUACCCGCUGAACUUAAGCAUAUCAAUAAGCGGAGGAAAAGAA
Molecule: ribosomal RNA, 64 nt
Filed under: Pezicula cinnamomea
Lineage: Eukaryota; Fungi; Ascomycota; Leotiomycetes; Helotiales; Dermateaceae
Also listed under: 1 other name
Description: partial 28S ribosomal RNA
Rfam family: Eukaryotic large subunit ribosomal RNA
Source: RNAcentral